RNAcentral lists this long non-coding RNA (1051 nucleotides) under Danio rerio (zebrafish). Its description in RNAcentral is "si:ch211-153i8.2 (ENSDARG00000095483.3)". The record is from RNAcentral. Lineage: Eukaryota; Metazoa; Chordata; Actinopteri; Cypriniformes; Danionidae.
AUCAAUCUAGUCUCUCUCGCAAAAUCGGUUAAUAUGUUUACGUUUGCACAUUUAGCAAUAAACCUAAAAUAUACUGAUUCUGUUUGACAUAUAACGUGUAACUUUAGACAGCUAAAGUAAGUAAAGUAACGUAUAACGUUAGGCGGACUUUACAGUUUACAAAAGGAAAACGCGGAUGAAGUGUCGUUAAAAAGCGGAAAGAAAGCGAGUUUCACCUUUUGAAUGGACAAUAACGAGUAAUUUGCCUUAUUAACGUUAACUCUUAUGUGAAACAAUUUGAGUUAUCAACAUGUUACACACAAAUAUUGCUUUGUUGUCAAAGGCAUGGUUUGGUUACGGUGUAUGGAUGAAAAGUGUCCAUGAAGGCCUAAACGGGUUCAGAGGAGAGAUGACUGGAAGUCCCGAAGCCUAUCUGCUAACGUUACCUGUCUAAAACCAAGGAAGCAGGCAAUCAAUCAUCAUGAUCCUAAAGUAUGAAGCUUUAUUGAGGAAGACGUUGCGAGGGGAGAAGAAAAGAUGACACACAUUCACAGUCGUGUCCUCUUUGGAGCGCUUGUCAUUUCGGCAGCGGAGCGGUGACAGUGGUUUCUAGAACAGAGCGUUUCGCCAGUUCACACUGAAGUAAGUCUAAUGCAAGCGUGACACUGGCCGUCAAUCUGUGUGCCGGUCUGUCUCUCACAGUGUGAAAUUACAAUCAUCAUAUUCCACUGCUGAAUAGAAUCAUGCAGUCAUACCAGCCAUUUCUAAGAUCUACACAAUCAUUACUGCAACAUCUCUGGCACUAUGUAACUUGUGAGUGUCAGGGAAAGAAGAAGAAAAAAACACAGAAACAUUUUAUUUCACUAUUUGUGCUAUUGCAUCAUGCUUUUUGGGAAGGUCUUCUGUAAACACAACUACAUCUUCCAGAGAGAGUCUUUUCAGAGAGAUGUUUUUGAAAUGAACACAAAGAUUAUUGGACUCUUUUACAAGAACGUACUGGUUCAGUGCUGCUACUUAAUUUCAUGUGUCAUUGUAAUUUCAAAAAUAAAGUUGAAUGCUUAGUGUUUACAAG